Molecule: ribosomal RNA, 429 nt
Filed under: Acidobacteriota bacterium
Lineage: Bacteria; Pseudomonadati; Acidobacteriota
Description: Acidobacteria bacterium partial 16S ribosomal RNA
Rfam family: Bacterial small subunit ribosomal RNA
Source: RNAcentral
UGGGGAAUAUUGGACAAUGGGCGAAAGCCUGAUCCAGCCAUGCCGCGUGUGUGAAGAAGGUCUUCGGAUUGUAAAGCACUUUAAGUUGGGAGGAAGGGCAGUAAGCGAAUACCUUGCUGUUUUGACGUUACCGACAGAAUAAGCACCGGCUAACUCUGCGCCAGCAGCCGCGGUAAUACAGAGGGUGCAAGCGUUAAUCGGAAUUACUGGGCGUAAAGCGCGCGUAGGUGGUUCGUUAAGUUGGAUGUGAAAGCCCCGGGCUCAACCUGGGAACUGCAUCCAAAACUGGCGAGCUAGAGUAGGGCAGAGGGUGGUGGAAUUUCCUGUGUAGCGGUGAAAUGCGUAGAUAUAGGAAGGAACACCAGUGGCGAAGGCGACCACCUGGGCUCAUACUGACACUGAGGUGCGAAAGCGUGGGGAGCAAACAGG